GCCCUUCAUGUUUUUAAACAGUCAGUCCUGCUUUUCUAAGGUUUGUUCCCUUCUGGUACAGUGACAAAACUGGUAUUUGACGGGGAUGUAUGUGUCAUUUUGAAGAGCUGGAAUGAUGUUCCACACACGGGACUGAAAUGCUUUGGUCUAACUAAAGUCUUGGGGUAUCUGGGUGGAAAUUAACAGCCUGUGACAUAGAGGAGUGUCCGCCAAGAGGGCUGUGGAAAUGCCCUAGAAGAACAAAAGGAGAGGUGUUUGAAGCUACUGUGCAAAAAUCUCUGACCCAAGGGGAGCCUUUUGGCCAUGGGACCUGAACACACUAAGAAGAGCUUGUUGCAUGGGCAGAGAGACAAGGCCUGAAGCUUGAGCAGAAGAGGAGGGUCUUGGGACCCUCAAAGGACUGAUCAAAACCCACAGGGUUCUCAGUGUUGGGAGGACACUACGGGAAGGGGUUUGAAUGCAGAUGUUUCAAUAUAGCUGGAAGGGUUUUAUAAACGUGUGCAUGCGUUUCAGAA
Molecule: long non-coding RNA, 515 nt
Organism: Mauremys reevesii (Reeves's turtle)
Lineage: Eukaryota; Metazoa; Chordata; Testudines; Geoemydidae
Exons: 3
Source: RefSeq, a predicted model, not a curated record